RNAcentral lists this long non-coding RNA (297 nucleotides) under Pan troglodytes (chimpanzee). Its description in RNAcentral is "long non-coding RNA NONPTRT006041". The record is from RNAcentral. Lineage: Eukaryota; Metazoa; Chordata; Mammalia; Primates; Hominidae.
GCAAGGAGACAGAGAGAGAUGGGGAAAUAUCCUCACCAACAGCCCUGCUGCAGUGAAAACUGGAGGAUCCCUGAAUGGAAAGGAAUGCUAUGCACACUUUUUGGAUACAGAAAGUGAGAUUCAGAGGGGUUAAACAGCUUUCCUGAAGCCACACAGCGAGAUUGUCGAUCUGAACUGAAGAUUGUUUGACAUCAAAGCUCAUUUCUUUCCCUAAAUGUCAGCAUUCUUUCCUGACUUAUUAAUUUGAUUUCUGUCCUCCCCUCAUGGAAGUUAAUUAAAGGAAUGCGAGAACCUUUU